Molecule: transfer RNA, 74 nt
Filed under: Thaumatichthys pagidostomus
Lineage: Eukaryota; Metazoa; Chordata; Actinopteri; Lophiiformes; Thaumatichthyidae
Also listed under: 1 other name
Description: tRNA-Val
Rfam family: tRNA
About the family: Transfer RNA (tRNA) molecules are approximately 80 nucleotides in length. Their secondary structure includes four short double-helical elements and three loops (D, anti-codon, and T loops). Further hydrogen bonds mediate the characteristic L-shaped molecular structure. tRNAs have two regions of fundamental functional importance: the anti-codon, which is responsible for specific mRNA codon recognition, and the 3' end, to which the tRNAs corresponding amino acid is attached (by aminoacyl-tRNA synthetases). tRNAs cope with the degeneracy of the genetic code in two manners: having more than one tRNA (with a specific anti-codon) for a particular amino acid; and 'wobble' base-pairing, i.e. permitting non-standard base-pairing at the 3rd anti-codon position.
Source: RNAcentral
CAGGACUUAGCUAAGCAUAAGAAUAGCACCUCCCUUACACUGAGAAGUCGCCCGUGCAAACCGGGCCGUUCUGA